This 170-nucleotide unclassified non-coding RNA is filed under the name uncultured Trichomerium. RNAcentral's name for it is "sequence contains ITS2". Lineage: Eukaryota; Fungi; Ascomycota; Eurotiomycetes; Chaetothyriales. The record is from RNAcentral.
UCCUCUCUCAAACCCCGUGUUUGGUGUUGGACCGCGUUCGACCGCCUCCAUGGCCAACUGGUCUCAAAGACAAUGACGGCGUCCCAGGGACCCUCUUCGCACUGAGCUUUCCGGAGCACGCGUCGAGUUUCAAGGACCCAGGGACCCGGUCGCCUCUAAAACUUUUUUCA